UUCUCCUUUAAAAGGUUAAUACGCCGAAAAUCAUAUAACUAGCAAUCAUGCAUUACAAACUGUAAUUACUUACAUGUUUCUCCGUGGAAUAAGAUGCGACCAAGUACACCACUACGUGCUUUGUGUUCCAAUCCCACAAUUCAGAAAGGUCAGCGUCCAUGUUGAAUUUGACUUGGGCAUACUGCUGACGGACAUUGCGAAAAGCGUGAUAGAAUCGUGCACUUCUGCUAUACUAGUGUUAAUACUAAAUGGUAAUUUCUCAACUUAAAAACGAACAAAAAGACAGUAUCAUAAUAGACAAGGAUAUAAGGUAGGGCACUCACUAUCAAAUGGCUUUUCAACUAUGCCUCAAGUUCAACAUAUAUAUGAGUUUAACCGAACCUAUCAUUUACAAAACCUAGAAUAUAAAACUACUUACUAUUUGGCAUAAUGUACAUAUACAGGAGUAUCUAACUCCACUUCUCUACGCUGAAUUACGCCUUGAAAAGUAAUAACAGCACAUAAAAAAAACAACACCGUCGAUAGCUUGCUGAAGAAGGUACUGCCACGAUUCGUAAAUGUAUCCACGAUCAUUCUGGAUUUUUAAAGAAGGAAAUGGAUAAUUCCUUGUCUUCGUUGUUUCAAAUCGAUUCCUUUAGUGUAGCAAAGGUUUUUGGUAGUAUACGGAAAUCUAUUUGUGACGCGCUAUAAGUAACUUAAAUAAGUCAAGCGAUACUUAGUAAAUGAUGGUGUUGAGUGCAAUCGGCCAGUUACCAAAAUUUGUUAAUUUAUUGGUUAUUGUUUUGAAUGUCGUUUAUCAAUUCUACAAUAGAUUGUUUUCACAGGAACAAAAUAGAAAAUUAAAAAAUGUUAAACGUUACGCGGAAAAAUCGGAAAUCUAAUUAUAGACGUAUAUCUCAUUUUUAAAAAAAAGAAACAAUUGGAAUGCAAAUAAAUAUCAAGUAUGUUAACAUUCAUAUGAAACAACUAAUGAGAGAAUGUUGACUGUUGAAAGUCAAUGCUUUGAGGAAUUAGAAGUCUAUAAAGAAAAGAUAGGAAUGUAUAUUAUAAAAUCCCAA
This is a non-coding RNA of Schizosaccharomyces pombe (fission yeast), 1058 nucleotides long. NCBI's taxonomy places the organism in Eukaryota, Fungi, Ascomycota, Schizosaccharomycetes, Schizosaccharomycetales, Schizosaccharomycetaceae. The record is from the annotation of a GenBank genome assembly.